UAAAUUUUAAGUUAUAUAAACUAAGAACCUUCAAAGUUCUCAAAAAGAAUAUUCUUAAAUUUAA
RNAcentral lists this transfer RNA (64 nucleotides) under Metacrangonyx panousei. RNAcentral describes it as "transfer RNA Tryptophan". The record is from RNAcentral. Lineage: Eukaryota; Metazoa; Arthropoda; Malacostraca; Amphipoda; Metacrangonyctidae.